Molecule: long non-coding RNA, 811 nt
Organism: Syngnathoides biaculeatus (alligator pipefish)
Lineage: Eukaryota; Metazoa; Chordata; Actinopteri; Syngnathiformes; Syngnathidae
Exons: 3
Source: RefSeq, a predicted model, not a curated record
GUGUUUCUCCAGUAACAUAAGGCAAGAGUUCUUUUGGAACAACGGGUAACAUUUCCCCCGCAACAUUUUGCGCUUCUUCGACAACAUCAUCGAAAUGUUCCUCUGAAAGAAGAGUUUUUGGUUCUUCGAGAAGGGAAAUCUUCCCUCUUCCAUAUCAUCAUGUCGUUCUCCUGCCUCCACGUCAUCAUCCGAUUUUCCUUCUAGUGCCAAUCCUUGUGGCUUUAAAACUUCAAGUUCCUUGUCCUCCGUUCCAGGAACAUCCACAGGUGCGCGGAGAUCAAAUCCAGACGGCGCCGCUGCCGCCAAUCCUGUUAAUUUUCUCUGCGUUUAAGCUGAAGACUGUCAGUAAUGUGUGGGCGGCCAAGUCUGGAGCGCGCAAACAUGUUUGGACAACAAAGUAUUUUUAUCUUUUUUGUAACCUUUUAAGAUCUACUCCUCAUCAUUGUUUUGGUCUUAUUUUGUAUUCAUUUGCCAGUUAUUGUCAAUCUCUUUUUCCAGUCCUGAAUCAGCGAAUGACUUUUUUAACGUGUCCAAGGCCCGCUCUAUCCGGACUCCUUUCAAUCGGAUCUUUUUGUUCUCUUUGCGAUCAUAUCUCGUCCUGCACCAACCCCCCCCCCCCCCGUAUUUGUCGGAGAUGUCUCCGCGUGUUGUUUGAAGCUAGCUAGCGUUUUGCCGUUUCUUAUUUUUUUGUUCACACCCCUGACAGAUCAACUUGGAUUCUCAAUAAAUGUUUGAAAAGAUGAAGGCUGCGUCACAGUCAAACUGUUCUGACAUCAAAGGGAUGCAGAGGAGACCUAACAGCCAAACCGAA